RNAcentral lists this ribosomal RNA (274 nucleotides) under uncultured bacterium. RNAcentral describes it as "partial 16S ribosomal RNA". It matches the Rfam family "Bacterial small subunit ribosomal RNA", at positions 523 to 796 of the family's 1533-position model. The record is from RNAcentral.
AUACGGAGGGGGCUAGCGUUGUUCGGAAUUACUGGGCGUAAAGCGCGCGUAGGCGGCUGGGCAAGUCGGAUGUGAAAGCCCUCGGCUCAACCGAGGAACUGCGUCCGAUACUGCUCGGCUUGAGUUCGGUAGGGGGUGGCGGAAUUCCCGGUGUAGCGGUGGAAUGCGUAGAUAUCGGGAGGAACACCGAUGGCGAAGGCGGCCACCUGGGCCGACACUGACGCUGAGGCGCGAAAGCUAGGGGAGCAAACAGGAUUAGAUACCCCAGUAGUCC